RNAcentral lists this ribosomal RNA (402 nucleotides) under uncultured Glomeromycotina. RNAcentral's name for it is "SSU rRNA". It matches the Rfam family "Eukaryotic small subunit ribosomal RNA", at positions 569 to 977 of the family's 1831-position model. Lineage: Eukaryota; Fungi; Glomeromycota. The record is from RNAcentral.
AGCAGCCGCGGUAAUUCCAGCUCCAAUAGCGUAUAUUAAAGUUGUUGCAGUUAAAAAGCUCGUAGUUGAAUUUCGGGAUCAAAGGAUCGGUCAUGCCUUGGUAUGUACUGGUUUUAUUGGUUCUCACCUUCUAAAGAACCAUAAUGUCAUUCAUUUGAUGUUAUGGGGAAUUAGGACUGUUACCUUGAAAAAAUUAGAGUGUUUAAAGCAGGCUCACGCUUGAAUACAUUAGCAUGGAAUAAUGAAAUAGGACGUUUGAUUCUAUUUUGUCGGUUUCUAGGAUCGACGUAAUGAUUAAUAGGGAUAGUUGGGGCAUUAGUAUUCAAUUGUCGGAGGUGAAAUUCUUGGAUUUAUUGAAGACUAACUACUGCGAAAGCAUUUGCCAAGGAUGUUUUCAUUAAU